This is a long non-coding RNA of Girardinichthys multiradiatus, 1513 nucleotides long. RefSeq lists it as uncharacterized. Lineage: Eukaryota; Metazoa; Chordata; Actinopteri; Cyprinodontiformes; Goodeidae. The record is from RefSeq and is a predicted model, not a curated record. The transcript is spliced from 3 exons.
UCUAAUCACAUUUGCUAACCUUGAGAGGGUCUACUGCCUCACAAUGAGGCAAGGUGUGUUUUGUAUAAGAAGCCUUUCAUUUUAGCCACAUUAAUGUCUCGCAUGUCAUUGCAUAGGGAGUUGAUUCCUGCUUUGUCCGUUUCAAAUACAAUCCUUUCAAAGCUUCGAGAGAUAAUCUAUGUCUCCUGGAUAUAUAUGACAAGCCAGGCAGCCAGCCACUGGAGGUGGGCUGCCAUGCAGGCCUGAGGCCAAAGGAGGCUGGGGAAUAGCCAUAACUAAAAGGCACCUCUUCACAAAGGACACUCCACUCGUUUUAUAUUUGCCUUUGACUACACUUCAAAGUGCUUCUGAGUGGCUGUUUAAGAGUGAAACAAAAAGGGAGAAUAGCUUUAAAGAGGAUGAAGGGGGGCUGAAGCCUGAGCUGUAGGACUGUGCUGAAUCCAACCUGCCAUCAUCAGUUCAAAAGGAAACAAACAUAGGCCUCUCCAGAAUUUUGAAUUAGGAAUCUUGUCAGCUGGUCUCUCAACGCAAUUGAUCAGAUUUUUUUGACAGGAAAACACGAACCAGAUUCAGAAGUGACUCAGAAGGGAGAUAAGGGAAACACUCUGAUAUGAAGCACACAUAUCCUCUCAUUUGGAAAUACCUAAACAACUGUGACCUGUGGAUACCAAUGUUUUAACUGUUCAAAGAAAGAAAAUGUAUCUAUGCAUAGAUUGCAAAAUGUCAUGACUUCAAGUUUCUUUCUUCCAGGAUUGGUGUACUUCACAGUUGUGUUAAAAAUAAUAGCAGUGUGUUUAAAAAAAAUAUAUGUAAAGUUCCAAAUCCUAAGAAUAAUUUUUAUUUUCAUGCACUACACAUUAAAUUCUAAAUCAAACCAUUAAGAAAAAUGUAUCAGUAUUUAAUCACGUUACCGAAUAUGAAGAAAAAUGAACACUUAGCAGUGUCUUCAUUUUUCUUUACAAACUCAAAUAUUUUACUGUAUAAACUGAAGGUUUUUAGGAUUAAUCAUUCCUAUGAAUCACUAAACUAAUAUUUAGUUGUCUAACCACUGUUUCUAAAAACUGUUUUAUCUUUGUGUUGUAUGGAGCCGAUCAAUGUCUGGCACCUGUGAACAGGUAUUCCAGCCCAAGAUGAUUUGACAACAUUCCAAAAUUCCUCUGCAUUUCUUGGUUUUGCCUCAGAAACAGCAUUUUUGAUGUCACUCUAAUAGUUUUCAAUUGGAUUAAAGAUUGGGCUGGCCACUACAGCACUUUGAUUUUGUUUGUCUGGAACCAAGAUGCUAAUCACUUACUGGCGUGUUUAGGGUAUUUGUCUUGUUGAAACAUCCAUUUCAAGAUUUCCUUUUUGGCGUAAGGCCACAUGACCUCUUCAUGUAUUUUGAAAUAUGCAAAUGAUGCUUGAACCACCAUGCUUCACUAUCUUCAGAGUGUUCUGUGGCUUCAGUUCAGUGUAUGGGGGUCAUCUGACACACUGUCUGCGGCCAUUGAACCCAAAUAAAACCAUCUUAUUGUCA